Molecule: long non-coding RNA, 14486 nt
Filed under: Gallus gallus (chicken)
Lineage: Eukaryota; Metazoa; Chordata; Aves; Galliformes; Phasianidae
Source: RNAcentral
CCCCCCACCCCCUCCUUCUCCACCACCUCCUCCUCUUCCCCCUCCCCCCGCCCGCUCUCGCCGCCCGCCCGCCGCUGUCCCCGCGCUGCCAGGCCGGGGCUCAGGCCGCCGUCGACCGCCGCACCUCACCGAGCCGAGGCGAGGCCGGGCCCCGCCGUUGCCGCCGCCGGGCGCUGCGCAGGUUUGGAACGCGCGCCAUUUUGUGAGCGAUAGAAAAUCCAGCCCGGCCAGGAAGCGCCGCGGAUCCGCCCGCCGGGCCGGGCCGGGCCCCCCUCUCCCCGCCGCCCGGAGAAGAAGGCGCGCAGCGGGCAGACCCUGCGAUCGGCACCGGCGCCGCCGCCGGCCGUGCGGGCCCGAGCGCGGCGGGGCGGCCGGACGGACUGCGGAGCGCGCAAGAGGGAGGCGCCGCCGCGCCGGGGCCCCGGGCCGAGGCCGGGGAAAGAAGAAGAAGCGCUCGUUUCUCGCUCUGCCCGCCGCACCAGCAGGAGAGGAAAGGAGAGGCGAGGCCGCCGCCGGGAGGAGCCGGGCCGGAGCGCGGGGCUCGCACGUGUUGUUUCCUGCUGGACUCCCCAUGUCCCCACAACCCCACAGGAUGAUAUGAGACUUGAAAGAAGACGAUGCAUACAGGUAAGCUUAUUUUCAAGAGCUUUCAUAAAGGAAAAUCUACAUUGUUUCCAUUCCUUUAUCUAUAACUCCAAAAUUGUCAUUCCAAACUUAGUAGAAUAUUUAAGAACCUGCAGCAUUUUUAAAAUAUAUUUCUUUGCCCUUUGAAACUUCUUGCAACUGACCAGGAAAGAAAGUGGUUUCUCUGAAUGGAAAUACGAUGUUCAAAGUUUUAUGAAACAAGAGUUUGCUCUUAAGAAUAUUGACUAAGUUUUAGUCUUUUCUUGCUUGUUAUUACCCCAUUUUAAUGGUGCCCACUUACUAGCAGAUAUAUGUCACCUGAUUAGCGAUGUACUAUUUCAAUCUUCUGUUAGCUUUAUUUUAAAGAAAUGGUAUGGAUCCAACUGAGAGAGAUCAUACCAAACAAAAAACUUGGAGUUCAUUAUGCCUAAUCACAUCCUUAUGUUCAGCUAACGUAAAAUUUCUCAAGAAACAAGGAUGAAAUCUUUGAAUGCAUUCAACUCAUUAGACAUUCUUAGAAUUUACGUUUUAGGAAGUUCUUCCAUUUUUUUUCCAAACAAAAUACCUUUAGUUCCAAGUGUACUUGCAGAGUAAAUAGUUUAUUUUUAGUGGUACUGUUUUGUUUGCCAUUUUGAUGUGAAAAAUCAUGAUAAGGAAAAGUAGAAUGAAAGUUAGGUUUUACAAGAGGAUUGGUGCAGUUUAUACCCACAUACCCUUAUUUAAGUCACAGAAGUAUGCAUUGCUUAUAUUUGGAGGCCUAUGACAAAUCUUUCAUUUGCUGGCUCUGCUGUAAAACCUAUGAAUCCUUGAGGCUGGGAAAGAAGCUAGAUACAUUUACGUAUGCGUGCAGAUCAUCUCUUGAUUGACAGUUUUCAGUUGCAUCAGCUGUUCAUGCUUAAACAGCUUUACGGGGUAUAUUUACAUGGAGUAUGUUGGAUUAAGGCCAAGAUGCUGUAAGUGGAUAUUUCAUUCUGUGAAAACUAAGCAUUUGUUCAUUUCAGUUGAACGUGUGUAACUUGUAUGUUGUUAGCUCAAGUAAAACUGGGCCUAAAGAAUUACAAAAUGCAGUGUGGCAAAGAAGAGGAAGGAAAAAUAUUCCAAAGGGUUGAUACUUCAUUUGUUCUAAAUAUAUGUAUGUAUAUAAAGAGGAAUAGCAUUUCAAGUCUUAAAAUUGAAUCUUCACGUCCUUUAAAAUUUGUGGAGCUCUGUCAAGUAGACAGUCAUAGCAACUGAUGAGUUUCUAGGUCAUUUGCUUAUUGCUGUGUAGAUGAAAAUAUAGCCUAACUUAAGUAUUGAGACAGUGGUUUGAAAGUUUAAAAGCAUUCAUGCCACAACUGAAUGGAGAUAUGACAGUACAAAAUAGUAACUUGAAUACCUUAUACUGUUUUAGAGAAUUAAGUUUGGUAUUUUUAUAUGUACACUUUCAGUGUUGGUCAGGAUUUCUGGUGAUGGUGAGCUUGUAGAAUUACAAGCUUAAAGAAUAGAAAUGUAUACAGGAUUUUUAAAUACGAUGUUUUAAUUAGUAACUCUAUCUUUUAAAGCCCAAACUCUUUGUUUAGAAGUCUCAUGAUAAAUACAGAGUAAAAAACAGUAGUAUCUUACAAAAACUUUUGGACUUCUGGUAAGUCACUGAAAUUGGAGCUUGGACAAGUAAGAUUUGUUUGCAAUUUUCUGUUUAUUGGGAGAGCCAAUAUUUGUAUGUUGAAAUUCUGAGAAUAAAUGUGAUUUGCAUGCCUUAAAAUGAGAAAAAUAUACUGUAAUCAUUCUCUAAUACAGUAACAGCAGGAGUCACGAUGACUCUGCUGAUACCAGUCUCAAGUUCAAAGUAGCUCGUGAGAGCUCAGGCAAGAAAUUGAAAGGUUUUGUGGUUACUGAGGAUGAUUCCUUUUACUUUCUUAACACAACUUGGCUUCUGAGAGUGACUGAUCUGGGGUUUCAGAGAUGCUUGAUAAUUUCUAAGCUACCUUUGGCUAAAGAAUGGGAGCCUGUAUAGGGUGAAAAACAGAAACAAAUCUUUGGUUCACUGAGUAUCACUUUAUCUUUCUGGAAAGUGACAUGAAAUUUGGGAUUGUGUUUGUGUAGUUACAAGAGGGAUUGAUCUUGUUUGGAAGCGUGUGUUUUGCAGUUGAUUGCUACAUCUUGUCCUGCACCUGCUAAGCAGAAUAGGACACUGUGGUUGUUUUUACUGUUGUUGCUCUUGUUGCUCCCCUCUCUUUUUUGGGGGGAUGGGUACGGGGAGAAGGUGGGGUGGUAGGGGGUGGCAGUUACCUUUAUAAGAAUGAUUGGAUUUAAAACAAGUAACUUUCUGGCUUGGGCUUUGUCUUUUUUCUUGUUAGCUGUGAUGUAGUAACAUGUAACAAGGAAUAAUUAACUGUCUAAUCCUUAAGUUUCUGAAGAGCCUUUUUUCUUGACCUUUGCAAGAAGACUCGCAUUUCAGUUGAGUGUGUAAGGGACCAGUGUAGAUCUACUAAACUAGAAGUAAGUGUUCAGAAGGAUCCUGUCCUUCAUGCCACAUGCUGAGUAACUGGUAGCAGUUAAUGUUGGGGAAGUAUUGUUCUUGAAAGUAUAAGGGAAAGAAAAGCAGCUGCAUGUCAGGAAUUGCUUUUUGAUGACGAUGAGUUCUGCGUUGAAAUACAAGAAGGAUUUCAUUUCAUACUGGUCUAGACCUUCCACAGAACCAUUGAACAGCAUUGUUCUCAACACUGAGAGCAGCAUGGAAGUAGGGGAACUAUUAUCAGAUUUGUCUUCAAUAUAUAUUUUUUUAUUGUAGUCUAUGCCACUUUUAUAUCUACUUGAACUCAUCCAGAGGUUUGAGAACGUAAAAUUAUUUAAAAGAAGUUUAGAAUGUUUAUUUUAUCUUCAGUUGUGCACUGAUAAUUUAUCAUGUAUUAACUUCAUUUUUGAACAUGUUCAGUCUUUCAUGGGUAAAUUUGCAUGUAAAAAACAUCAAAGUAAUAGUUGUAUCUAACUCUUCUGUUCACUUUGGAAAUAUAUUAAACACAUUAGAAGUUCUGAGAACCAAGCAAGUGAUCAAAAAUGUGAAAAUGCUAUAUUCAAGUAUGAAAAAACAUUGGAAACGAUCACAUUGUUCUUAACUUCACAAAAAUAUUGUUCAUGCUUGAAAAAGGAAAAAAGCCCAUUGGUAGACUACUCAAUAACAAUAGUACCAGAGCAGUGUAAAUAGUAAGUACUUAUAUUGUUGCAUUUUUUUCCCCCUGGUUGCAUUCCUUAUUAUGAUGUAACAAAUGCAGAGUAAAGACUUUGGGAAGUUCUUAGGUUGGGUUGAGCCUUUGCAAGUAAUUGGGUGUUGGUUUUACGUAACAGUGGAAUGAAAACUAGGAGUUGGGCCUUGUCUCAUAUUCAUAAUAUUCUUACUACAGAUUUCAUUGAAUUUGUAGCUGUUUUAAGGAAUACUUUAGAUGUGACUAGAAAAACAAAUGAGUAAAACAAAAACAAAAUCACAAAAAGAACCCCCCAAACCCUGUUGUUGUAUAGUCAAAAGAAAACCAGGUCCAAUAUCGCUGCUCUGCAUUUUGAAGUUCAUCUGUUUUACGUUACCUCAGAGACAGUUUGGUAGAUCUGCUAUAGUUUGUUCAGAACUAUUUUAACAUUUACCAGGAGAUUCCAGAAACUUAUUAGGGCAUCACCUUUUUAUCACAUACCUGUACUUUGCUGAAUUUUGUAGAAAUGAUGGAUGCGUUAUCUGUGCUUCCACUUAGGUAAUUGCAUACCUGCAGUCUCUUUUGUGAGAUGUAUGUGGUGUUGGCAUAAAACCAGAAUUGGAUUAAAAAGGGGCAAAUGCAUGGCCCAUGAUAUAAUUCUGUACUAGUAAGUGCAGUAUGAGCUGGUUGUGUGCUUUCAUUCCAGUUGGACUGAUUCUGUCAGUAGUUCUGUCACAUGCUUAACUGUAUCCUUACAGGCAUUUUUUCUUGGCUGUUCAGGUCUUGACUGCACAGAUUUUCAUUUCAUCCUCCAAAAGGAAGAUGCCAAGAAAAUAAUGUAAGAGACAGGGUUGCUUAUUAGCAGUAUUAGUUUUAAAUACAGAUAGCGCUUUGCAUGAAUUGGAAUGCUUUUAGGGUUAACCACUAUUUUUACAUAGGUAACUCCCCCAGCAGGAGUUGUUUGUGCUGUCUUUCUGGCUGUUAGUUUUCUGCCAGCAAUUGUGAGAAAGCAGUCAGUGGUGAGCUGAACACUACUGCUUACUGAAAAGCAACAGUUAUCGUACGGAAAGUGGAAGUUCUGCUUUUCAGAGAUGGAGUCAUUGACCUCAAUGAAUGAUAACCUUGAAGUCAAGAGACUAGAUUAAUGCUCCACUUUCGCUACCUGAGAUCAGAAAUGUGAAAACAUAGACAGCUAAAGUUAGACUCCUGCAUCCAUAUUUAAAAAGAAGUUGCCUAUUUAAAAAAUAAGUAAGUUUUUCCCCUCCUCCAAAAGUACUUAGUACCUGUGAUAUUAAAGCUUCAGUCUUUCAGCCUCACUCCCUGCUGGAGAGGAAAGAAAUUACAGAGAAGUCUGUUUACCUGUUUCUGGGUUUUGUCAUGGAAGUAUGGCCUCCAUAAAGAACGCUACUUGACUUGUUGAGGAGUAGACCAAAGCAUCUAAAAUAGGAAAUCAUUAGUGGCCUCGAUUUAUAUUUAAUUUGCUUUCUCUUAAGAGAGCAACUUUGAUAAGUUUAAAUUCCUCUAGAAAUUUGUGUUAGUAGUUGCACAGUUUUCCAUCUCUGGAACUUUAAUGUGUACUCUGUAGCAGAAGUAACUGAAAUGCUUUCUUAAGCAGAAAGUUAGGUGUGGUGUUGAUGUGAAUGUGUUGUCGGGCUGUGGAGGUCUUGGAUGGCAGCAGCAUCUGACUUCCUUAGGGCUGUAGGAAAAGGGAGGCAUGCAGAAUUCCAGUUGCUGUGGGUGACCCUCCCUGCCCUGUCUUUGUGGAGCUGAGAUGGCAACGUGGUGGGCCAUCAGGAGAUAGGGGAGCUGCACUUUCAAAAGCCUUAUGUUGCUGCAUAACGCUUCAAAUAAAAGUCUACUGUUUCAGUAUACUGGAAAAUAAUUAAUGCUCAUUUUGUAUCCUGAUUUAUGUGGUCAUCAUCUUGGGGAAAAAAAAAAAAACAGCAACUUUUUUGAGAUAACGUUCAAGAAAAAUUAAGUGAUAAGUAUUGUUUUUCUAAUGAGUAGUUGAGCUUCUGCAGCAAUAUCGUGAGGCUGAAGUUUGUUUCUGUUACUGAUUUUUUUAAUAGCAAAGACUCAUUUAGACUUGAGCAAAUAUUUGAUUUUUGAACAAAAGUUCAAAUUCAGAUUAAGAAAUAUGAUCUUACCCAUUAUAAAAAUUGUUACACAUUUAAGAAGUGUUAACCUUUUUCUGGAAUUUCUGAUUAGCCCACUGGGAACGUCCAAAGUCUCAAGUGAACAUAAUACUUUGAAUUUAAAGUCUUUCUAGGGCCCUUAAAGUCAUCACAUGGGCAGCUGGAGUGAAAAAGCACCUGUGGUGUUGGAGUGUUCGAUGUGUGAAUGAAAAGCAGAAGUUCUCAUGGGUAACACAGUAAUGGGAUGGCUAGGACUGCAUUUAGAGCUGUUAAUAUUCUCUGAGCAUUGUGAUGGAUCAUAUAGGCUUUCUGGCUCAGGUGUGAGCAUUUGUGUCCUACACUUUGUGCUGCAUAACAGACAGAGCUUUUCUGUCAUGUUUUGUGUGCUUGGAGUAGCAAGUUUCUGUCCUGGAGUGAUGCUGUUUGCAUGGCUUGGGUGACUUCUGAGUGACAUUAGGAGUGGUGCACAGGCUCUGAGGUGAUGAGCAGCCUUUUGCAGGAAUAGCAGCAGUUUCUGUACAGAGGAAGCUUCUUUCCUUGAGCUCAGCACAGAACAAUACUCGUUCAGGAACUUGUCCUUCACAGCUUUCUAGGAAUCACGACUGAAGUCUUGAGUUCCUAAACUACAUCCUUGGGUUGAAAUCUUUCAUUGGUACCUGCACACAGCAGUGGGUUUAUUUGGAUUUGCUAUCUGUGGAGACAGAAUACCCUCAGUUCAUCAGUUUUAACUGGCUGUAGCACUAGACAAGCCUUAACAGUAACUUAAAUGUGCACUUCUCCAAUUCCUUAGUGCAUCCUAUUUUAUAAAUUAUGCACUCAGUUUUUAAUGUCCUCUUUCUCCAUCUCAGAACAGUUAUAUUCUUUGGGGGUUAGGUUUGAAGAUAGAGUGAGAGAGGCCCUAGGGUGGCUCUGUUAAGAGCCUGUUCUUAGUAGUACUUGAUAGUUAUUUAAUAGGGAUUCUGUUGAUGCUACUUCAUCAAGUAGGAUACAAGAACUGUGUAAAUACUGUUCAGAAGUCUUGCUGAAGUUGGGCAUUGUGACGUCUUAAAAACUGCUAUUUCUCUGGUACUGCUCAGUCUGCUGCUUCCUAUUCAGUUCAUCUCUUGAUAUAUGGUCAUUUGUACAUCUAUAUUCACUGUUAUUUCAGAGAAUGGUGACCACACACGUUCUGACAGCCUGAUGCAUAACUGUUAUAUCAAGCUGGUAUAAUUUCAGCUUGUGGAACCAAAAUAGGAUACUCUAAGACUUGAUUAUGGAAGUUUUUGUCUAGGUGUGCGUAGGGGAAUAAGUAUUCCUUUCACCAGAUUUUAUGAUGAUGUCUACAUCUUAACGUGGAAUUACCAAUCUGUGCUUGUCAACUUGAAUGUUUCUGUAAGACACCUUAAGGACGUACUUAUCAGACGUGUUUUAUUUCGCUAGGUGCAAUUCAAAUGUAAGCUAAGUGAUCUAAUUAAAACUUUGUGUACUAGGGAAAAUAUUAAACUUGGAAAAUAGCUUGAAUCUGAGAAUGUUUUCAUUCUCACGUUUUCAUCUUGACGCUCUAUUUUUUUACAUAUUUGUUGCUAAACUGUUACAAACAACGAUGAAAUAAGAAAGCAAGAAACAAUCGUAUGUUUUUAUGAAUGGCGGUGAGACAUGAAAUGUGUUGGCUUGACCUUUCAGUUAUCCUGGCAAUGGAGUCAGUGGAUAAUUCGCAGCACAACCUAUAUUGAUCAGCUGAAAUGACAUUCUCUGGCCUCGUUUCUGAUGUCCAGCACUCAUUGAUACUUGCAUCUAAUUUCCAUUGACAUUUUUGUGAGUUAAGUACCUAAAUAUCUCUGCAGAUCUAGAUUUCUUUUUGUAGUGCAGUCAGGGACAGUUCUCUACCAUAUCUGUUAUAAAGAUAAAACAGGUGGUAGCAGCUCUCUUUCAGACAUGGAAGAGAGAUUUGCUCUUGAUUUCUACCUUGCCUGUCCCUAGCCAUGGCAAUUAUCAGUGCUUGUGUUAGUUCUUCCAUUUUCUUUGUUUUGUUUUUUUUUAAUCCCAUCUUCCUGGUCUUUAAGAUUUUGCUUGUAAUACAAAUAGCUACUAUGGGCUCUCUCAUGGUUAUAGCUUUUGCUAUAACAUUUUUCUAUAUUCUUAUGUUACCUUUCUGAAGAAAUACAGCAAAUCUUAAAGCAGGAAAAAAAAAUAUAAACUGAAUUAUAUUUCGUUGUCUUCUGAAUCCGACAAAGUUUGGUACGCAGUCCAAUGCUAUCACCUUGUCUUACAGAAUACUUUCUAACAUCUUAGAAUUUCUGUACUUGUGCAUCUUGCCUACUUGAGGUCAGUACCUUGCACUUGUUUACACUACCUCCUGAAUAUAAGGAGAACCAAGGUAUGCGCCCUCUAGGAAUUACUGUAGAAGGAUCAGGUUUACAAAGGUAGGUGAACUUGAUUUAAUUCUUACCUGGUUUCUGGACAAAAGCAGUGUUUUAUUUGGUUAUGCAGGCAGUAAAGCAUUUGAGUCGAGAAGAAGCAUUAUAAUGCUGUGAUUAUUGUCCACAGUUCAUUACUUUUUCACCAUUCCAGUGGAGUAAAUAACCCCUUCUGAUGAUACACGUAGAUCUCUCCACAGGCAGCAGCAAUUACAGAAGUACAAUAAGUGGGCUGAAUACAAACGUAUUUUGAUGGAUUAUUCUCUUCUGAAUGCUAGCUUAGUGUAGGUAGUUCCAUUCAUCUUUGCAAGGGACACUGAAUAUAUCUAGGUGGUGUGAAUUGACACUGCAAGUUUUUAUAUACUACUAAAAGUAUAGAAUCAUAGAAUUACUCAAGUUGGAAAGGACCUCAAAGAUCAUCAAGUCCAACCACAAGUAUAACAUAACCACAAGUAUAUAUGCUUCAAUCUGUCUUAUACUAGUGCAAGUUCUACUAAUGUCUCAGAAAUGAUCAGAUCUCUUUAUGCAAAAUAGAUCAAAUGUGAGAAUGAUAAGAGAGAUCUUUAUGAAUCUGUGGAAUAUUGUCUUACACAUAGUAUUACAUCAGUGCUCUUAAUAAGCUAAACUAGGUAAACAUAUUUGCUGUCCACUAGCAAAGAGGGUUGUGCUACCUUGGAAUACAAAGCUAAGUUUGCCAUUUGAAAUGUUUCACUUGGUAAAGUUUAUCAAAACAUCUGUGGAAAAACAACAGAUCUCCAUCAUAUUUUUAUUUAUAAUUUUAUUUUAGGUGAUGUUUCUUAUUUUUAUCUUGUUUUUUUUUAAAGUGAGCAGUAUGAUAAUUCCUUCAAGGUUCUAAAAUAAAACAUUACUUUUGUAAUCGAUUUACUCUUGUCUCUUGAAAGUAAGUUAUACAUUUCUAAACUUUUCUGUUGUAAAAUUAAGUAAUUGUUAUACAGUGCUGAGUAAUUCUUGGAGACUUCUCUGAGUAAAAUGAUAUUUCCGUACCAUAUAGGGUGUUUGCUGUCAGAAUAUGUUGUACAAAAUCUAGUCUUUCUUUUAAGCUGAACGUUCACAUCUCUGAAGUUUUCUCCAAAAUGUAGUCAUUAAAAAUUGCCACAUUGAGAUGUCAAUGGAGAACUUUGGCUCUGCUGUUAAGAUGAUUCUGGCGCAUAACUGAAAAAGAUAGAAGGUAGUCUUAUGUAGUUGAGUUGAGACUAGUUUGUGAAGUAUGUAUUUAGUGUGCAUGUAUAUAUCCUGUGCUUGGCGAUCCUCAUUAUCAACUAAUUGUUCUUGCCCUUUGAUCUCACUAUGCAGUUGUUUGAUUAGAGCAUUAGCUUCCUUUGAAGCAAGAGCCUUGCAAAGAAUCAGAUUGAUUUGGCCAAAGUCUUCAAGCAAACAGGGCAGUUUUAAAUGAUAGCUUCUGACGUGUCUUCCUCCUUUGCACCCUGAUGUUUUUUUUUAAAAACUAAACACACAUAUACGUAUGUAAAACAUUCACACUUGAACCUUUUCUGAAUUUUUUUCUUUUUUUUUCCUGCCAUUUUCACUAUUUGGAAGGAGAUUUUUCUCAGAACAGCAAGACACAGUAUCUGUAAAGUACGCCAAAAGAGGUGCAAGAGCAGAUGUAGUCAGAAGAGAUUUGAGAAUAACAUUUUACAGACAAAAAUGCCCACUCCUCUGUUAGUAAAUUGAAUGUUCCCAGUCACUGAAGCUGAUCGCAUGGAACAGCCCACAUCUGUGUGAGUUGACUGUCCCAGCCUGUAAAACUGGGUGGCUGCCUGAAAGCUUCAUAUUGGGAAUAGUUCCUGGAACAUGGUGAUUGCUGCAUGUUCCCAAGAGUUCCUGGGUAAGAGUGCUAGUUGGAACGGAUACUACGUAUGCAGAUUUUAGUCCUGUUCUUGGGCGCCUUCCUUGGCCCUACUGAAUGCACUAGUAUAGAUGUACACAGCUGUUAGUUCCUUGUGUAUGAAGCUAUGAAGUCCACUAUAACCUACUAGUUCUUAAAGAAGGACUGGUAGAAUUCUUUUUCCUUUUCCUUUGGACUUACUGUCUUGGAAGGAUAUUUCUUGGUCAAAACAAAGAAAAUGCUGUUGUUCUACCUUUUGCUAUGUAUAUAUAGGAUGUAUAUAAAUACAAAUGAAUGUAACCUGUUUUUUUUUGUUUUUUUUUUUUUUUUUUUUUUUUUUUGACCUGGAGGUGCAGAAAUACUCCUUUGCUUCAUUCUCAAUUACAAAGCUCAAGAGAAUUUUGUGUUGCUUUCCUGCAGGAUUUCUAUCUUAUUUUUUAUUUUUGUGUUGUAUUUGUUUUUGUUUCCCUCCAUCUUCUGGCAGCUUUUAUCUGCAAAGUUAUUCUUAUUCUAUGGCUUAGGCUGAGUUUAUGAACUUGAUGGGUCUUCAUGACUUUUCUUCUGAAUAAAAGAGAUUUUCCUCAGGAAAAGAAGCUAUUUCACACUCAAAUCAGUUGGUGGAUUCUGCAACUUUAGUUUAGAAUGCUGUGUUCAGCUUUGUAUUCCUACAAAUAUAUUGGUAGCAAAAGGCUCCAGGCAGCAACUGCUUGUAUCUUGAGAAAGGCAAAAAUUAGUUGUGUUUUUUGUUUGUUUGUUUUUUUCCUCUUUAUGUCUGGAGGCAUGUGGAGCUCCAGGGGAAGGCAAGUAGUGAAACUUCAUUCUUUCUUGGGAGAAAUCCAGACGCUAUCGGCUGCCAUCCAACUGCAAAAAUUCUGACACUCUGUUCGGAAAAAGUGCCACCAAAAUGUAGCUAGCUGAAUAUUCCACUUUUUCAAUAGAAGGCAGUUUCCUUAAAUAGAAUUUGGGAGCUAACUUCGUCUACAGCAAAGAUUUGGGUUAAAAACACUGCCAGAUCUACAGUGACGUCUCUAUACUUGAAGUCUUUCACUCCAGCUCCAGGUAUUCAGCUCAAGUCCAUAUUAAGAAAGCUCAGGAAUAAUUGGUUUCCUGUAACUGUGCAAUCUAUAGCCUGUAUAACUUUAAUAAUAAAAAAAAACUUAUUUCUUCAGAAAAGAUAGAAGUUGUUGUUAAGAGGACAGAACAGAAUUCUUGCCUUGCUCGUGAUUUACAUCCUGGUUAUGUUUUAAGAAAUUUAUAAUACAGUUUUAUUUUACUUUGAAUCACGUUUCCGCCCCUCCUUCCCUUCCCCAACGCUUUACUAGCAAUAUAUUUUAGCCAUCAAAAAUUCACCUUAUCCUUGAUAACAGAUUACCAAUAGCUUUGUCUUUCUAAGAAGCUGCAGUAAGCCAUUAGGAAGAUGGUUAAUCUCCCUCUUAUCUAAACCUUUUGAUCAAUUUAGAGAGAAGUGAAUUGCUGUCUUAUAAGCAAGUCUGUGUAGCAGGCUACUUAGACAAAGGGAUUUGGUUUCCAUUCAAGAUUAGAUUCACGAUCACUUAUCUAAUGAAUCAGCUGAAUUUUCAUUGAAUACCGGGUAAUUAGACAGGUAUUGCACCCUUUGGAUUAAUGGGACCUUUCUUUCCUUAUCUAAGUCCUCUCAGAAAUAUAAACUAUCUGCGGGAGUUGAUCAGUUCUUGAAAAAGAAGAAAUGCCUUGGAAAAUCAUUAGAAGCGUGGACACAUAGGCAUAUAUUUGUAUUCCUAUUCAAGAACUUUCCAAAAGCCUUGUUUGUACAACUACACAUCUUUGAUAACCAAAUGAUAAAGUUCCAUACUAUUUGAGUAGGAAUUUUGGUCAGUGUUGAGAAUGUCUAAAAUUCUAUUGCAUCUGUGAAAAUACAUUUGCUUGGUUUCUUAAAAAUGACAGUAGCUCUGUUGUCUUUGAUACAGAAAGAUAAAAGGAUGUCCAGUGAGAGAUAAGUGGACAGGUGGAGGUGACUUUAUUUGGUCUAAUUGUUAAGUUUCUCUACAGUGGUAUUUAAUAUAAAGUUUGCUUUCUUAAUUGGCACCCAUUAGCCCAGACGCAUUUGCUUAUUUUAUUAUUACUUAUCCAUGUCAAGCUUAGAUAUUUGAGCAUUUUUUCCUUUAUGCCAUCAAUAUAAGCUUGUUUACUGAAACUUCUUGACUGUGGAUUUCAGUAAAUAAAACAAUUCUAGCUUCCCACUGCAGAGUUCUUUUUCUGUUCCCUCCUCAAAGACAAUAUCAAAAACUUUGCAAUCUGAAGAUGAAAAUUUCUACAUAGAGUAGAAAAAGCUGCAGGAGCCUAUUGGGUCACAUGCUUGUGUGGAGAAGGUCAUCCCAUGACAAGAACGUGUGCUGACUCCUUUUGGGUGAUGAGCACAGUCUAGGUCAGUCUGUUGUCUGUUGGAACUUUAAAAUCUAGGGAAGUUAGGAGGACCAGUAAGUUUCAUGAUUCUCUCCACACAUCACUAUUUCUAGCCUCCGAAUCAAGCACACUGAUAACUGUCUUUAUCUUCUGUCUGUUGAGAAGGAGUAGUUGCCUCCUGAUCAUUAGUGGGCACUGUGCCCAGGAGCAAAUCUGUUUUGCUUUGUUGUCAGCGGGUUAAUCUCCCUUUCUCUUGCAAGAUGUCCCCCAUGUUUUUCAGGCCUGUUGAGAAUUCAGGAGACUUUCACCAUAACAUCAUAUCUGCGAGUAUGGUAGGGUUGGACCUCUUUUAAGAUAAACAGCGUGUGAACAAAAUUUCAGUCUCUUUAGCUAAACUGGGCUAACUUGAUGACAGUUUCUGUGUAUAUAGAAAACACCAUGCUGUGACUAAAUAUGAAUGUGGUUAAUGGUUCACUACAGAGGCCUUCACUUCCCUUGAAAAUCUAUAGAAGUGGAGCUGACUGGGGACUUCACUGCUGGUAGGAAUUUGUUUCUUAUGCUCAAGAGGAUGACUUUGGGAUGUGCUUAUGUAGGUAGACAGUUCAGGUUGUGUUAUUCUUUGUCUUCUCUACAGUUGUGCAGCCCACAGUGAAAUAAUUACAUCUAAGGAAUGUUGUCUCUGUCCUCAGUCCUUCUAAUACUGGCUGCCCGUCAUCAGUCUCUGCCCAGCUGUACUUUUGUAGCAUAAGUUUAACUGUUGCUGACAUCUUGAAACACAGGAUUAUUGGCUAUUCAGUUCCACUAGUACAGUCCCAGUCUGAAGAGUACAAUGUUCCUUCUCGCAAAUAAUGGCAAAGGCAGUUUUGCCACUUCUGUCCACUCUCUUUAGUUCCUAGACAUAUUGCAUACAAAAUCUCCACUUACCCUUUUUGUGGUGCUGAGGAAGAGAGAAAAAGGGCAACUUCUCUGUGGUGUCUUCUGUUUGUACAAAAGAGGAGUUUGUGAAGUUGUUAAUAACUGCAGUGUUUCUGCAAAGUCCUACAGAAGUUUUCAAGAGCCUGACUGAGACUGACAUUUUGAAACAGUUUUGUGCUGGCUAGUACAGUGAUGCCAGUGAACAACACCGUACUGCUUUCAACCCAGAUGCUUUGGCAAAUAUCAGCUUCAUGUGUUGCUGCUGCUUGGCAUAAAGGCUGAUGCUACAAAGCAGUAGCAGGUGGUUUGGAUUUUUUUCUGCUCAUUUUGCACCAACUUCCUUUUUUUUUUUUUCUUUGCAGUGGCUUUGGAGCAUGAUAAAUAAUAUUGGUGUGUUGUUUUUCUUUCUUUCUUUUUUUUUUUUUCCUGGUAAGGAUUUUAAGCUCUUUACAUGCACUUGGCAAAAGUUUUGCUCAAUGGCAGUGUACUGACUAGGGAUACUAAGUUACCCAGGUCUCAUUUUCCUUUGUCGAUGUCUUAUAGAUGACAGGGUACGAGGCUUUGAAUAUAUUUUCCCCCCAAAAAUUAAUCAUGGUAGUAACAGGAAGUCCUAUUACUUUGAAGAUUGUUUUGUAAUCUGAUUUCUGAUCCUGCUGUCAGUAACGUUCCUUCUGCACCCCUUUCCAAGCAUCUUUUUCCACAAAAGAUGAAUUUAGCCAGCAGUCUGGUGCCUGAUUUUUUUUUUUUUCAGUCAUGAGAAGGUGGACACUUCAAACUGCUUCCCUCUUACCUGAACAUCUACUUGCUACAGGAGCUGUUAAGAUGCACGUCUCCAAGAGCACGUUUGCCAAAGUCCUCACGUGUGGUAGCUGCCUACUAUCUAUGCAGCUGAAUGUUUUGUCAGCAAAUGGUUAUAUAUGCCCAUUCAUUCCAUAGUGCAUGGUAUGCAUAGCUGAAGAGAUAAUGUGCCUUAUUGCAGUACUUCUUGGAUUAGAAAGUUUCCCAUUAGAAAGGAAUUAGAAAGAUG